This 189-nucleotide unclassified non-coding RNA is filed under the name uncultured Fusarium. RNAcentral describes it as "sequence contains ITS1". The record is from RNAcentral. Lineage: Eukaryota; Fungi; Ascomycota; Sordariomycetes; Hypocreales; Nectriaceae.
CAGAACCAAGAGAUCCGUUGUUGAAAGUUUUGAUUUAUUUAUGGUUUUACUCAGAAGUUACAUAUAGAAACAGAGUUUUAGGGGUCCUCUGGCGGGCCGUCCCGUUUUACCGGGAGCGGGCUGAUCCGCCGAGGCAACAAGUGGUAUGUUCACAGGGGUUUGGGAGUUGUAAACUCGGUAAUGAUCCCU